This 7817-nucleotide long non-coding RNA is filed under the name Sus scrofa (pig). Its description in RNAcentral is "lncRNA (ENSSSCG00065044282.1)". Lineage: Eukaryota; Metazoa; Chordata; Mammalia; Artiodactyla; Suidae. The record is from RNAcentral.
AUCUAUACUGCAGCUCAUGGCAGCACUGGAUCCUAGACCCACUGAGCAAGGACAGGAACUGAACCUGCAUCCUUAGGGAUACUAGUCAGAUUCGUUUCCACUGUGCCGUAACAGGAACUCCUCCUUAAUGAAUUUAAAAGUUUUGAUGCCUUAAUGAUAAAGACAUUUGUAUUUUGCUUCAUUCUACACUUUAAAUAUGACCCUCGUUUUUUCCUUCUGUACUUGUGUAUUUUUUUUCCAUGUAAUUGGAUGAUUCUAAGUAUAGCUUAUUUUUAGACAGAAUGAAGACAAAUGCUUAAAACUAUAAUUAAAAUAAAAUGUUUUGUAAAUCUCUGCCCUGAAUUCAGUAUUACCUCAUUUAUAUUGAACAUGGCUUUUGGUAAGCUUAUGGAAAUUCAACCACUUCUUUGUAGUUUUUUUUUUUUUUCCCCCUCAUGUUUUUUUCACUCGGCUUUAAGAGUAAAGGGAAUCUUACCAGUAUAGCUCGUUUCUAGAAAGGAGAAAGUUGAUAUUUCUUUUGAAGCUUUCCCAGAGGACAAUCUUGCUUUUAGCCUAGCAACAUGUGCAACAAUUGGGUAGUUUCAUGGCGUGGGAGCAUCCUGUUGUCCAUGAAUAACUGAGUGAAUUUGAAAUGACAGUAUUUUGGAAUCAGAUCUUACGUGUGGGAAUUUGUCUAAAAGUCACCAUCACAUGUACAGCAGCCCCCAGCCCUUUAUUGAAAUAAACAAUGGUUAUGCUUCUAAAGUUUUCCACUGAUAUCCCUUCUCAUCUAGUAGAUUCAGCCUAUUAAAGAGUGGCCUUAAAGACCCAUGUAUAAUUAUAGGAUAUGAGCAGUUAUUUUAAUGACCAUGUAAUUCAUAUCAUGAAGAUAUAGCAUAUCUAAAGCAGCCUUCAAUUAAUUAGAAGAGGCUGUUUAAUCUACAUGUAUAAAAAUUUCAAUUAAAACAUCUUUGCUAAACUUCUUGUCCAAUUUUAUUGUAUUUUAUACGGUUCCAUUGAUUGGAACAUCCUUGAGAAUAGUUAUUGCUUUGGAAUGGUGAAGUAUUGAUUAAGCAUUUACUGUGUGUCAGGCAUGUGCUAAGUAUUUUGUAUGUAUUAUUUUUUAUUUAAUCCUCACAACAACUUGUGAAGAUAGGUGGUGUCCCUGGUUUGCAUUGGUUUACAGCUGUGCAGUCUUCCCUGGACCUCAGUUCUCUAUCCUGGGUUUAGUAUUACCUGCCUCAGUGUGCUAUGAGGAUUAUGCACACUUUGAAGUAAGUAUUCAAUAAACGAUAGCUGCUAUUCUUGUUCUUCUCAUUUUUGAUUUCAUGUUUUAAACAAGUAAUGUUUCUUGUGGUUCAAAAAUUUGAAAGGUAUUACACAGUGAAAAAUCUCUCUUCCUUCUGUUCACUCAUCUAGUGCUUACUAUACCCGUUUUACUGUUUUGCUAUAGGUCUUUCAGGGUAUCCAUAUGCUCUUUUUUUUUUUUCCACCUUUUACACAAAAUGUAAUAUUUUGAAACUAUUAACACUGUUUCAGAGCUUGCUUUUUUUACUUAAUGUAACUUGGCAGUCUUUCUGUAUUUAGUGCCCAGGUAUUUUUCCUUUUUUCCUACUGUUGCAUAAUAUUCCCUUGUUUGGAAAUAUAUAUGAUAAUUUAUUUAGCCAAUUCCCUCUUAAUAGAGACUUGAGUUGUUUCUAAUAUUUUGCUAUUAUAAACAAUGCAGCAGUGAAUCAUCUUGUACCGAGGUCAUUUUGCAUGUGUGCAAUUAUAUAUGUAGGAUGAAUUCCAAGAAGCAGAAUUGCUAGGUCAAAGGGAAUAUGCAUUUGUAAUUUUUGUAAGUAUUGCCAAAUUGUCCUUCAUAGGGAUUGUGCCAGUUACACAGCUACCAGCAAUAUGUGAGAAUGCAUGUUUCCUCACAGCUUCACCACAGAAUUUAUCAAAUAUUUGGAUUUUUGCCAAUCUAAUAGGUGAAAAGUUAAUCUGUCAUUUUAAUUUGCAUUUCCCUUAUGAGUGAGUUUGAGCUUUUCAUUUGCUGAAGAACCUUGGCGGUUUUGUGAACUUCUCAGAUAUAUUGGAUUCUUGAUCAAUUUCUUUAUUUUCUAGGAGUUCUUUAUGUGUUAAGGGAGAUUAGUACAGUUUCUUGUGUAUCUUUUGACUUUGUGGAUUUUGAUUAAAAUUGGACCAAGUUUGUAGAUCAAUUUGGGAGAGUUGAUAUCGUUACCAUUUUGAACAUGAUGUAGCUCUCCAUUUAUUUAAAUGAUAUAAAAUGUUCUUCAUGAAAUUUUGUAAUUUCUACAGAAAAGUCUUAUAUGUCUUUUUUGUUAGAUUGAAUCACACAUAGUUAAUGUUUUGAUUCUCUUCUCAGUAUCUUUUACAUCAGUGUCUUUCUGUGUGUUGCUAUGUUUAGAAAUGACAUUUAGUUCUUCUGUGUUAAUUUCAACAACCAUAAUAAACUCUUAUUAAUCAUAUUUUUGUACCUUUUCUGGUAGUCUGUGGUGUUAAUCACUUGUAAAUAAUGGUAGUUGUAUUAUUUUCUUUCCAAUCCUUGUACUUUUAUUUCAUUUUUUUCCUUACUCAGCUGGCUAAGACCUUUAAUACCAUCCUGAAAAGAGGUAGUCUUGUCUUGUUCCUGAUAUUAAAGGAAAUAUCUUCAUUAUUUCACCAUUAAGAAUGAUAUUUUUGUUUGGUAGAUGGUUUAUGUUGGAUUAAGAAAUGUCCUUGUUAUUCCUAAUCUGCUAAUAUUUUUAUUUAUUUUUAUUUUUAAAUUUUAUUUUAUUUUAUUUUUGCUUUUUAGGGUCUCACCCCUGGCAUAAUGGAGGUUCCCAGGCUAGGGGUCCAAUCGGAGCCGUAGCCACCAGCCUAUGCCAGAGCUACAGAAAUGCAGAAUCUGAGCCGCGGCUGCAACCUACACCACAGCUCACGGCAACGCCGGAUCCUUAACCCACUGAGCAUAGGCAGGGACCGAACCUGCAACCUCAUGGUUCCUAGUCGGAUUCGUUAACCACUGUGCCACGACAGGAACUCCAACUCCUGCUAAUAUUUUUAAGUCAUGAAUGAAUGUUGAAUAUAUUGAAUGUUUUUACUGUAUUUAUGCAAACUACCAUAUUAUUUUUCUCCUUUAAUGUCUUAAUCGGAUUAAUUAUAUUCAUUAUUUUCUUCGUGUAGCCAGUUUUGCAGUUGAUAAGAUAAAUUCAACUUUGGUCAUCAAGUAUCCUUGUUUUUAUUUAUUUUAUUUUAUUUUAAAAUUCUUUGUUUGUUUUUGUCUUUUUAGGGCUGCAGCUGCGGCAUGUGGAAGUCCCAGGUCAAAUCUGAGCUGUAGCUGCUGGCCUGUGCCACAGCCAUAGCAACAUGGGAUCUGAGCCCCAUCUGCAACCUGCACCACAGCUCAUGGCAACGCUGGAUCCUUAACCCACUGAGCGGAGCCAGGGAUUGAACCUGAGUCCUCAUGGAUACUAGUUGGGUUCGUUAACUGCCGAGCCAUGCGGGGAACUCUGUAUCCUCGUUUUUAUAUACUACUGGAUUGUUUGCUAAUUUUUAAGGGCUUUUGCAUCCUUGUUUGCAGUGGCCUGUAAUGUUACUAUCAUACUCUCAGGUAUUGAUAUCUAGGUUUGGUAGCUUCUUAAUGUGAUUUAGGAAUUGUUUUUUUGUACUGUUGAAUAGUAUGGGUAAUAAGAGCACUAUCUAUAUUUUGAAUGUUUGGUAGAACUUGUUAAUAAAACUAAUUGUCACAGGUUGGGUUUCUCUGGGCAACAGACUCUGAAAUGGAGAUGAGCAUGCAGCCAAUUUGUCAGAGAGUGCUUUCUAAAUCAUCAUCUGCUGGGAGAAGAGAAGGGAGCAGGAUUGGGUAGAAGGAGAUGUUGGGCAGUAGUACUUACACCGUGGAGCAUUCUGAAGCUAAGAUGGCCCUUCGGAGGUGUCCCGGGUGGGGGCAAGGGGGCCAGGCCUUAAUAUUUCUGCAUUCACCAUGCCAGUCUUCCCCUACCCUUCGUGCUGCUUAUGUUUACUUGAUCCAUGUAAGUAAAUACAAAUUUACUGGGAUGGCUCCUCCAUCCCUCUGGUGGGUUUCUGGGUUUUUGGAAAACUUAAAUAAGGAAAGUUCAUAGAAUAAACCGCAGUCCCCAUUGCUGCAGCUAGUCUUGAGGCCAGAACUGAUACUCCUCUCCCUCUUCCAGUAUUCGUUCCUGUCCCUUCAGUCUCAGUUAGUGUCUUCUCUAGUCUAGGUGGCUUUUAGGGUAUGAUGGCCCAGACCCUUAUCCCUGAGUUACUGGCUACUUUUCAAAGGCUUUGGCUGCUUCAUUGGUCUGUUUACCACCAAAACUGGGCAAAAGUAACAAAAUAUGCCCACAUGGAUUUACUGGCCAGACCUAUUCCUUCUUGCCGCCAUUGGGUAACAGCAGCCCUGCCGUCUCCUGACGAGAGUCAAUUCCUCCUUUCAGGGUGGUGAUUUUUCUUCUUGCCUGAUAUCCCUUGACAUGAGGAGCCUGACCAGCAAACAUAGUUUAACCUUUAGUGGGACUUUUGCUGUGUGUCUCCUGUGUCCCUUGGUAGAAGUGUUUUGCAUAUGCGAGCCAGGUUCUCUAAAUCCACAGAGCCGCAACUUCUAGGGAUAGGAAGCAUAAAUUCCCAAGUGGGUCCCUGGAAGUAAUGGUUAAUGGAGCCACUGUUGCUUCCUCUUCUUGGUUCCUAAAACCGUGUGUCUUACCUACCGAGGACGUAAUACCAUAUAAUGAUUGUUGAUAUUUUGUAUAUGUAUUGUGUCCUAGAGAUGGCAUCCUAGCCUCACAGGGUGUCACCUCUGAGCUAGUGCCUUAUUUGUACCUUGUUCUAUCACUGUUAGACUGAAAGCUUUUGAGUAGUACGGUGUGUGAUAUAACCAAACAAUCCUAUGGUUAUAUGCUAAUACCACAUAUCCUUUGCUAUAAAGUGGGUUUCUCAGUCUGGUCCCAUGUUAUGUGGGCUGCCAUUUUGGUGGAUUAAACACUCUCCUGGCUGAAGCCUUCCUGGCAGGAAAGGUAAAUCCAUACCUGAACAUGUGUGACCUCUGCCAAAGCCACCUCAGAGUAGAAGAAGUCUAGUACAUUCAACUUGCAGCAAAUAACUGUUUGGUCUCCUUAAAGGGUGAUGGUCUACUGGGACCUCAGUAUUGUUCUCUGUUGCUGUCGGGUUGGAUAUUUGACCGUGGACGGUAACAAUAUCAGCCUUGGUGAAUGGGAGAUCAUGCUUUUGGGUCCACAUAUAGCCCCGGUCUUUGUUGUCAUGGCUACUCUGCUCAUGUGUGUAUUGUGCCAGCACUGGGGAGGCCAGUCACAAAGACUAGCUGAAGAUAGAAGUCUGUUUUGCAAUUCCCCGGGACAGUGAUUCACUAGGACUCACAGGAGUCAGCAUAUAAAUUGUGCUCAUGUUUUUAAAGUGUACAAAGCAUGAUCAACAAAGGGAAAAGUAUAAUGGGCAAAGCCUAGGGAUAACCAGGUACACACUUCUAAGAGUCCUCUUCCAGUGGCAUCACAGUGGACAUGCUUACUCCCCUAGCAACAAGGUGUGUCAACGUGGGUAAAAAUAUCUGCUGUGGAGGCUUAUUAGAAACUCAGUGCCCAGGGUUUCUGUUGGAGGCUCUUCACCUGUACACCCUCUGCCUAGCGUGUACCAAAUUCCAGAGUCCUGGAAGGAAGGCAGAUGUUCAGUGUAAACCACAUCGUUUGCGCAGUUUAGACACACUGAGCUACUCUUUAUCAGGGUAAUAAGAACUCUCCUAAGGCCCAUGUUCCCAGGAGUCUACGGAUUUUAACUUCCUGACACAUCUCCUUCCACACAAAGGAGACGAGCAAAUGCUUUGUCCAAACUCUAGCUAUUGGGGAGUUCCCUUGUGGUACAGUGGAUUGAGGAUCUGGCAUUGUCACUGCAGUGGCUUGGGUUACUGCUGUGGUGUGGGUUCAGUUCCUAGUCUAGGAAGUUCCACAUUCUGUGGGUGUGGCCAAAACAAACAAAGUCUGGCUACUGGGAAGACUUUGUAUCACUGUUAUCUUUCGAAGCCACACCUGAGUGGGGCUGUAUUGUAGCCAUGGUCCAUUUUCAGCUUCAACAGUGUCCAGCAUUUUUGAACUGUUGGCAUUCCUCUUUCUCAGUACAUGAUUGCUUGACUAAAUGACCUUAGGUCUUUUUCCAGAAGAUCAUUACAAUGUUUACUUGCUCUGGUGGUAUAGGUCCUUCUUCUUUUAGCUUUAUCUCGUAAUCUCAUAUUUUUUUUUUUUGGUAUAUUUGCCUGUAGAUAUUUCUCAUUUCUCAUAUUACUUUUCUGAAUUAUUUAUGAGUGUUCCUGAAUUUCCAAACCCAGAAGGUUUUUCUAACUUUUCUUUUUGAUGAUUGAUUUGAACUUGUUUUGUGGUUGGAGAUGGUCUGCUGAUACCAGUUACUUGAGAUCUGUUGAGCAUGAUUUUAUGCCCACUAAUGUAAGUCACUUUUUUUUGUUUUGUUUUGUUUUUGUUUUUGUUUUGCUGUACUUGCAGCUCAUGGACGUUCCCAGGCUAGGGGUCUAAUCAGAGCUAUAGCUGCUGGCCUACGCCACAGCCACAGCAACACCAGAUCUGAGCUGCAUCUGUGACCUACACCACAGCUCACAGCAACACCAGAUCCUCAACCCUCAACCCAGGGAUCAAACCUCAACCUCGUGGUUCCCAGUGGGAUUCGUUUCUGCUGUGCCACGAUGGGAACUCCACUUUUUUUUUUUUUAACAGCUGCGCAUGAGGCAUAUGGAAGUUCCCCGGCUAGGGGUCAAAUUGGAUCUGCAGCUGCCAGCCUAUGCCACAACCACAGCAACACGAGAUCUGAGCUGCAUCUGCUACCUGCGCUGCAGCUGUAGCAACGCUGGAUCCUUAAGCCUCUGAGCAAGGACAGGCAUUGAACCCACAUCCUCAUGGAUACUAGUUGGGUUGUUAACCCACUGAGCCACAAUGGGAACUCCUGUAAGUCACUUUUUGUAAAUAUUACCUGUGACCCUGGAAAAGAUGCUGGAACAACUGCUGCCAUUGGUUGCAGAAUUCUAAAAAUAUCCAUUAGGUCAAGCCUGUUGUGUUAAAAUCUCUAUCUUUGUUUUUGUUUGCCUGGUCUGUCAAUUAGGCAAAGAUACAUUAGUGUCUUCCCCUAUGUGAAUAGAUUGCUUACUUUCUCUUGUAGUUUUUAUAAAUAUUCCUUUAUAUAUUUUGAGGUUAUGUUUUUAGAUUCAUACAAGAAUUGUUAUUUUUUCCUAUUGACUUAAACCAUUUGUCAUUUGUGAUUCUGUCUCUAGUGAACUCUUCCCACUGCUUUUUUUGUAUGGGUAUACCAGUUCCAUUUGGUUAGUAUUUGCCUAGUAUAUAUGCAGCUUCAUUAUUUUUUGAGACAUAGAUCCCUCCUGCCCCUGUUUUUCCUCUUUGGGUUUCAUUGGGCUUCCUGAGUCUAGAGUAGUGUCUUUCAUUAGUUCUGGAAAACUCUCAGCUACUUUCUUUUCAGAUAUCGCUUCUGUACCUUUUAUUUUUCUUUGUUCUUUGAAAUUCUGGAUAAACUUGUUAAAAUAUUCUAGUUUAUCCUCAGGGAGUUCCUGUCGUGGCGCAGUGGUUAAUGAAUCCGACUAGGAACCAUGAGAUUGCGGGUUCGAUCCCUGGCCUUGCUCAGUGGGUUAACAAUCUGGUGUUGCUGUGAGCUGUGGUGUAGGUUGCAGACGUGGCUCGGAUCUCGAGUUGCUGUGGCUCUGGCAUAGGCUGGCAACUACAGCUCUGUUUAGACCCCUAGCCUGGGAACCUCCCAUAUGCCGGGGGAGGGGCCCUAGAAAAGGCAAAAAAACCAAAAAAAAAAAAAAAAAA